GCUGGGUGCGGUGGCGGGCGCCUGUAGUCCCAGCUUCUUGGGAGGCUGAGGCAGAAGAAUCACUUGAACCCAGGAGGCGGAGUUUGCAGUGAACUGAGAUCGCACCACUGUAUUCCAGCCCUGGGUGACAGAGUGAGACUCUGUCUCAA
RNAcentral lists this non-coding RNA (149 nucleotides) under Nomascus leucogenys (northern white-cheeked gibbon). The record is from Rfam by way of RNAcentral. Lineage: Eukaryota; Metazoa; Chordata; Mammalia; Primates; Hylobatidae.